This 64-nucleotide transfer RNA is filed under the name Curculio davidi. RNAcentral's name for it is "tRNA-Pro". Lineage: Eukaryota; Metazoa; Arthropoda; Insecta; Coleoptera; Curculionidae. The record is from RNAcentral.
CAGGAAAUAGUUUAUUAAAAUAUUAAUUUUGGAGAUUAAAGAUGAAGUGUUUCUUUUUUCCUGA